AAAAUCUGCUCUUCUUCCUUAAUCUCCCAUUCCAAAGCACCCAAGACAAGAAUCUGAUUCCCCCGGAUGCUUCUCCACCCUUUAAGAUGAAAGAAUCAAAGCUUUCACCUCGUCAGCUACUCUUGGUUGGUGUACUCUUCAUCCCUUCUGCCACAGGCUUUCAGUUCAGACCCUCCCAUCUGGCCUCAGAACCCCUGCGCUAUCCUCUUAGCAAAUGUCCCCGGUUCUCCUCAUCUUGUCUCCCACCAACAGAAUCUGCGCCAGAGCACCGAACAGAGGGAUGCUUCCAAGAUGCAAAUCUGAUCAGGCUGCACCCCAGAGCCCUGGGAUGACUAGAUCCCGUUCUCUAAAAAAUACAAACCAAGUUUCUGAGCAUGACAGAAAGGCCUUCGUGGGCCGGCCAUCAACUUCCCCUUCCAGCACUCCGUGUCACACAUCGACACAAUGAGGUAGCUCACCGCAGCACUCCACAUGCUACUUUACAUGCUUUUCUUUGCCAUGUAGUUCCCUCUGCCUGGAACGUCCUUCUCGUCAACAAGCCACAGUUCAAAAACCCAUUCCUUCAGGAACCCUCCCCGGACUUUUUGCCACCCCUUCUGCUCCACUGGCUUCAGGAGGGGGGGGUCCUCCCUCUGUCUUUGCACAGUACACAGGCCUCCUCAGCAGCUACCUAUCACACCCUCUCACAUGUCUGCUUUAUUCUAUUACCCGUGGGGCUGCUGACAGCUCUAGGAAGCUGCCUUCUCCUUCACUCAGUGCCUGCUGCCCAAGAAAUGGUCUCGAAACUUUUUUCAUUAUGUGCAAUUUCUACUAGAUGCUAUUUGUAACAUUUUCUCCUAGAUUUUUUUUUCUUUUCUUUUUUUUUUUUUCCCACUGUACAGCAAGGGGGUUAGGUUAUCCUUACAUGUAUACAUUACAAUUACAGUUUUUCCCCCACCAUUUCUUCUGUUGCAACAUGAGUAUCUAGACAUAGUUCUCAAUGCUAUUCAGCGGGAUCUCCUUGUAAAUCUAUUCUAGGUUGUGUCUGAUAAGCCCAAGCUCCCGAUCCCUCCCAGUCCCUCCCCCUCCCAUCAGGCAGCCACAAGUCUCUUCUCCAAGUCCAUGAUUUUCUUUUCUGAGGAGAUGUUCAUUUGUGCUGGAUAUUAGAUUCCAGUUAUAAGUGAUAUCAUAUGGUAUUUGUCUUUGUCUUUCUGGCUCAUUUCACUCAGUAUGAGAUUCUCUAGUUCCAUCCAUGUUGCUGCAAAUGGCAUUAUGUCAUUCUUUUUUAUGGCUGAGUAGUAUUCCAUUGUGUAUAUAUACCACAUCUUCCGAAUCCAAUCAUCUGUCGAUGGACAUUUGGGUUGUUUCCAUGUCUUGGCUAUUGUGAAUAGUGCUGCUAGUUUUCAACACAACACUUAAUGUUUAAAAAAGCCACGUAAGCUAAGUAGUGGCAGCAUCUUGUUUUUGCAGAGAAGGAAAUGACAACUCAUAGAGAAUAGUAAGGGCUACAGAGCUACACAGUUGGAAAGUGAAUGGGUCAAUAUUACAAUAUAGGUUUUACAUGAAUCCAAUAGUGCUUCUCACAUAAGAGAACACAGAAAUUAAAUGGAAAGAAAAUGCCAAACAAGGAAGAAAAAAGAAAAUUUUCUAAGUUCUCCUCCAGACUCCCAGUUUUCUCUUUUCUCCCUAUUACUCAUCUGAAGACGUGGCUCAGGGUGAUGGGGUCAUGCUAAGAUCACGGCUAUUACUUAGAACACCAUGUUAAGGAAAGUGAAGGUUAGUGGUUCAAUAAACUUAAGGAUUAAUCCAUUUCAUCCCACUAGAUAUCCAUCUACUGAACUUCUAACCUCAUGAACCAUUUCACAAACACAUGGACCAGGACCAUGUGUGCAGAGGCUCAAUUUUAAUCCAAUACUACCACUACAACACAGCUUGAAGUACUAACCUUCUUGUGGUGCCUGAAUACUCUUGUAUAUGAAGAUAUUACGAAGAGGCUCAGGGCUCAGCUCUGCAAAGAGAAUACGCUCUGGAAUUCCUACCUAGAAAGAGCUAAGCAUGAGGGUUAGUUCAUGGCCUGUACCACAGGACUAGGGUUUCUCUCUUUCAGGACAUGGGUGAGGAAAAGCUGCCUCUUGCACCACAUCCCGCACACCCCGGCUUGGGGACAUUCUGGGGCACGCUGCAGGUACCAAGGACCAGAGGCUCAGCAUACAGGUCCCGGCAGCAAGUCGUGCCUGGUAGUGCGGCAUCAUAAAAAACACGCUUUGCCUACUGGGUGGAAGUAAUUCAGCCAAAAUAAAAAUUGCAUCGGCUGCUCAGCAAUGCUUGGAGUUCAGCACCCAGAGAACUAAAAGAGCUACAACUCAGGGACACUAGGCAGAAAGCCCAACAAUGGCAGCCUUGAAAAAGACAAGGAAGAAAAAAUGUAGCAGCAACUCCCUGGGCAUGUGACUUGAGACUCUUGGCAGGCUGCCCCACAAGACUGGACAGUCUGUGGGCAGAGAAUUCACAUCUUUCUCUCAGCUGCCAGAGGCUAAGAAGGGCCAGACCAGACGGAGGACUACCAACUCAUAUCUUCCAGCAAGCUAAUCAUCAAUGAGACUCUCCAGAGGACAACAGUGAAUGAAUAACCAUAACUCUCACCUGCUUUGCACAGUCAUGUGACUGAUCAACAUCACUCCAACCAGGCUCCAUGACUUCUACAACCUGAAACAGCUUGUAACAUAUUAAUUGGGUAUCAAAUAUGCAACCAAUGCAGGGUUUCUUCCCCAGUCGGCAUAGAGAGAAACAAAGCUCUGCUGCAAAAACAAAGGAACAGAGUUCAGCUUAACAAGUCAACCAACCUUAACAGGGCAUGAACUGAGACACUGGGCCAAGAGCAGGUAAUACAAAGGUGAAUAAGAGGUCUUGGAGGAAACUCCUGUGCACUGGAGCGGGAGGGGCAAAAAGAAUGUCAAUAUAAUAUGAUAACUGCUGGCACGAUAUGGAUACAACAGUAUAUGAAGAUCACCAGCCAGAGUUAAACGAACAAAA
This 3012-nucleotide long non-coding RNA is filed under the name Sus scrofa (pig). Its description in RNAcentral is "lncRNA (ENSSSCG00005037204.1)". Lineage: Eukaryota; Metazoa; Chordata; Mammalia; Artiodactyla; Suidae. The record is from RNAcentral.